Microplitis mediator is the source of this 497-nucleotide long non-coding RNA. RefSeq lists it as uncharacterized. Lineage: Eukaryota; Metazoa; Arthropoda; Insecta; Hymenoptera; Braconidae. The transcript has 2 exons. The record is from RefSeq and is a predicted model, not a curated record.
AGAAGUGAUAAGAGGCACUAAAAUAAUUAACCCAGCUUCCAAACUAAAUUGACGUAGAUAAUCAAACAAAUCCUACAUGGGGGUACCGGAGGUAUAUUCACUUAAGUACACGUGUAUCCAUAUAUAUAUACUAUAGAUACUUAUCCAGCGACAAGUCAGUAUCAGUUGAAACCUCUUCAAGUGAAAUACGUUAAAUAAAUCUGUGAAAAUAAUAAUUACGAUUAUUUUAAUAUUUUGAAUCCCAAUUACUUGGAAAAUUAUGUCUCGCUUUUUGAUAAUUUGCUUAAUCGCAUUAUGCCUACUUACAACAUUGAUGGCAUUGCCACAGAGAAAAUAUCGACAUGCAAAUUGGGGAAUCAGUCGAGACGAUACAACAACUACGGAAUGUCCAUUGUGCCCUUUUAAUAUAACAAGAGUCUAACAUACAGCUGCAGUAUAAAAUAUAUAUAUAUAUAUAUAUAUAUAUAUAUAUAUAUAUAUAUUUUUAUUAUUUAUUU